Molecule: small RNA, 27 nt
Filed under: Bombyx mori (domestic silkworm)
Lineage: Eukaryota; Metazoa; Arthropoda; Insecta; Lepidoptera; Bombycidae
Description: ovarian small RNA-9478
Source: RNAcentral
UUCAAACCAAAGAAGCAGCAGGUGGGU